Molecule: ribosomal RNA, 390 nt
Filed under: uncultured bacterium
Lineage: Bacteria
Description: bacterial SSU rRNA
Rfam family: Bacterial small subunit ribosomal RNA
Source: RNAcentral
AUUGAACGCUGGCGGAAUGCUUUACACAUGCAAGUCGAACGGUAGAGGGGGCAACCCCUUGAGAGUGGCGAACGGGUGCGUAAUGCCUAGGAAUCUGCCUAGUGGUGGGGAUAAACGUUCGGAAACGGACGCUAAUACCGCAUACGUCCUACGGGAGAAAGCGGGGGGAUCUUCGGACCUCGCGCCAUUAGAUGAGCCUAGGUCGGAUUAGCUAGUUGGUGAGGUAAAGGCUCACCAAGCCGACGAUCUGUAGCUGGUCUGAGAGGACGACCAGCCACACUGGGACUGAGACACGGCCCAGACUCCUACGGGAGGCAGCAGUGGGGGAAUUUUUGGGACAAUGGGCGCAAGCCUGAUCCAGCAAUGCCGCGUGCAGGAUGAAGGCCUCGG